Molecule: non-coding RNA, 135 nt
Organism: Triticum aestivum (bread wheat)
Lineage: Eukaryota; Viridiplantae; Streptophyta; Magnoliopsida; Poales; Poaceae
Source: Rfam
CUAGUACUCCUUUCGUCCGGAAAUACUCGUCAUCAAAAUGGAUAAAAAGAGAUGUAUCUAGAACUAAAAUACAUCUAGAUACAUCCCCUUUUAUUCAUUUUGAUGACAAGUAUUUCCGGACGGAGGAAGUAGCUC